Molecule: transfer RNA, 68 nt
Filed under: Podarcis lilfordi (Lilford's wall lizard)
Lineage: Eukaryota; Metazoa; Chordata; Lepidosauria; Squamata; Lacertidae
Description: tRNA.Lys
Source: RNAcentral
GACAGCUCAGUCAGUACAGCAUGAAACUCUUAAUCUCACGGUUGUGAGUUCGAGCCCCAUGUUGGGCG